Molecule: ribosomal RNA, 492 nt
Filed under: Lonsdalea populi
Lineage: Bacteria; Pseudomonadati; Pseudomonadota; Gammaproteobacteria; Enterobacterales; Pectobacteriaceae
Description: bacterial SSU rRNA
Rfam family: Bacterial small subunit ribosomal RNA
Source: RNAcentral
CAUGGCUGUCGUCAGCUCGUGUUGUGAAAUGUUGGGUUAAGUCCCGCAACGAGCGCAACCCUUAUCCUUUGUUGCCAGCACGUAAUGGUGGGAACUCAAAGGAGACUGCCGGUGAUAAACCGGAGGAAGGUGGGGAUGACGUCAAGUCAUCAUGGCCCUUACGAGUAGGGCUACACACGUGCUACAAUGGCGCAUACAAAGAGAAGCGAACUUGCGAGAGUAAGCGGACCUCAUAAAGUGCGUCGUAGUCCGGAUUGGAGUCUGCAACUCGACUCCAUGAAGUCGGAAUCGCUAGUAAUCGUAGAUCAGAAUGCUACGGUGAAUACGUUCCCGGGCCUUGUACACACCGCCCGUCACACCAUGGGAGUGGGUUGCAAAAGAAGUAGGUAGCUUAACCUUCGGGAGGGCGCUUACCACUUUGUGAUUCAUGACUGGGGUGAAGUCGUAACAAGGUAACCGUAGGGGAACCUGCGGUUGGAUCACCUCCUUACC